RNAcentral lists this ribosomal RNA (460 nucleotides) under uncultured bacterium. RNAcentral's name for it is "partial 16S ribosomal RNA". It matches the Rfam family "Bacterial small subunit ribosomal RNA", at positions 338 to 795 of the family's 1533-position model. The record is from RNAcentral.
CCUACGGGAGGCAGCAGUGAGGAAUAUUGGUCAAUGGACGCAAGUCUGAACCAGCCAUGCCGCGUGCAGGAAGACGGCUCUAUGAGUUGUAAACUGCUUUUGUACGAGGGUAAACGCAGAUACGCGUAUCUUUCUGAACGUAUCGUACGAAUAAGGAUCGGCUAACUCCGUGCCAGCAGCCGCGGUAAUACGGAGGAUUCAAGCGUUAUCCGGAUUUAUUGGGUUUAAAGGGUGCGUAGGCGGUCGGAUAAGUUAGAUGUGAAAUCCCGAGGCUCAACUUCGGAAUUGCCUCUGAUACUGUUCGGCUAGAGAGUAGUGGCGGUAGGCGGAAUGUAUGGUGUAGCGGUGAAAUGCUUAGAGAUCAUACAGAACACCGAUUGCGAAGGCAGCUUACCAAGCUACGUCUGACGUUGAGGCACGAAAGCGUGGGGAGCAAACAGGAUUAGAUACCCUGGGAGUC